RNAcentral lists this ribosomal RNA (484 nucleotides) under uncultured bacterium. Its description in RNAcentral is "partial 16S ribosomal RNA". It matches the Rfam family "Bacterial small subunit ribosomal RNA", at positions 28 to 523 of the family's 1533-position model. The record is from RNAcentral.
GAUGAACGCUGGCGGCGCGCUUAACACAUGCAAGUCGAACGGUGAAGCAGGAGCUUGCUCUUGUGGAUCAGUGGCGAACGGGUGAGUAACACGUGAGCAACCUGCCCCUGACUCUGGGAUAAGCGCUGGAAACGGCGUCUAAUACUGGAUAUGUGAUGUGACCGCAUGGUCUGCAUCUGGAAAGAAUUUCGGUUGGGGAUGGGCUCGCGGCCUAUCAGCUUGUUGGUGAGGUAAUGGCUCACCAAGGCGCCGACGGGUAGCCGGCCUGAGAGGGGAACCGGCCACACUGGGACGGAGACACGGCCCAGGCUCCUACGGGAGGCAGCAGUGGGGAAUAUUGCACAAUGGGCGGAAGCCUGAUGCAGCAACGCCGCGUGAGGGAUGACGGCCUUCGGGUUGUAAACCUCUUUUAGCAGGGAAGAAGCGAAAGUGACGGUACCUGCAAAAAAAGCACCGGCUAACUACGUGCCAGCCGCCGCCGUAA